AUGACAUCUUGUAGUAGGGAUUGAAGAGAGACCAGCUUCAUCUCCACUCGACCAACAUGAUGCAGGUUUUCUACUGGAAUGCCGAGUUAUUUCAGGACAAGGGGGAAGAGCUACAGGCCAGUCAACAACACCAGCUGCCCAUCCCAGCAGGAUCACUCUAAGGCAUCCCCUUUACCAUGCAUCACUUGGGGCUGAAUCCUUGUGCAUUUGCUGUCUGGAGAACUGAGUAACGAAAAUGCUGGGGCUGGGCCCAAGCCUGAUAUUCAAGCAGACCUUGAUAAAGCGGUACAUUUCUGUGCAAGCAAUCAUUCCAAUUGAUUGAAUAAAAACAUCCUGCAGGAUGUUUAUCAGGGAAAGAAAGCUUGGCUCUCACAAGGCAGAUUGGUCAGUAUCCUGAUAUUGCAGCAAAAGGUGCCAAUUUUUUUUUUCUUUUUAGAAUCACAUUUGAUGUGGAAGGUGAAAUAAGGUUUCACUGAAGCAAGAGAACAAAUGGGGAAGAUAAUCUUUAAGAAAAAGCUCCAGACCAUUUUAAACAAACUGU
Homo sapiens (human) is the source of this 541-nucleotide long non-coding RNA. NCBI's taxonomy places the organism in Eukaryota, Metazoa, Chordata, Mammalia, Primates, Hominidae. The record is from Ensembl.